Long non-coding RNA from Dreissena polymorpha, 4327 nucleotides. RefSeq lists it as uncharacterized. Lineage: Eukaryota; Metazoa; Mollusca; Bivalvia; Myida; Dreissenidae. The transcript is spliced from 14 exons. The record is from RefSeq and is a predicted model, not a curated record.
GUUGCUGCUGGGUUGGGACAAUGAUGCUGAGGAUGUGGGGGACAAGCAUGACGCAGAAGGAGAGCACCAGCAUUGAUAUCGAGUUGGCCAAGCAACAGCACAAGUCCGGCCUGCAGGAGCCCAAAUACAGAACCAUCCUUUCCCUCCCCUGAUCCCUAGCUCCUCCCACUGGACGACCGGCCUCAAAAUCCCUAGCUCCUCCCACUGGACCUCCGGCCUCAAAGGGUCAGCAUCGUUACACAAGUCUGUUCUGCAAUAAAUCCUCAGCAUGUCAAGUUUUCGCGCGCUGUUAUGAACAAACAAAAUGUCCGUGUCUAGAUUUCCCCAAGCAUGCCCGAGUAGUUUUGUUUAGCUCUAGUGCCCGAGUGGGAUGAGUGUUACAGAAGCGAGACUUGAUAGCAGUACUUAUGGUAACGCUAACAGUUAACUCUAACAGUUAGUUCUUGCUGUGGACAUCACGAAGAAUUAAACGUUGAAUAAUUUGUUUCAUUCUUUAUAAGACAGCUAUAUAUUCAGCGAGGAACGAGAGCAAAUCAAGGAACAAUCGAAACAAUUCAUUCAGAAGUGUAUCUGCUGUAGAUAGUUAGGACAGUAGAAGCAUUAUGGACUGUCCUCAGCGCACAAUAUAUUCAUGUGGUGCGCCUCAGAUGUGAAUUCCGCCCAUUAUUGAAAACAAGUUGCUUAAAGUAAACACGUCCGGUUUUGUUACAUGCACUUUGCACUCCGAGCCCAAAGGGCAUCGCAUUGAAUUGAGACUAAAGAAGGCUUAAAAAGAGGACACCAGUUUUGUUGUAUGGUCCAGUACGCCCUUCGACUCUCAACCCGAAGUUAAUCAGAACUCAAACUUGGCCCUUAACAAUAUCUGCGAGGCCAGCAUAUCAGCUCAGCUUCUGAGCUUCAGCAAACACUAUAAGCCGCCAAGAUAAAAACAUCGUUGAAGUUAAAGUUGAUGACAAUCCUGACCCCUUCGCUUAAAUAAUUCAGCACAAAAACGUCUUGCGUCAGAGUAGCAAGCCUCAAAACAUCUUCUCCCAUGUUGGCUACUUCAACACUUCUUACAGCGGAGCCUUGGGGAGUUUGACUUCCAUCCCAGCAUCGAUGUUGCUUAGCAACAAUCUAAUGCUGUAAAUCGACAAAUUGUUCCAGACGAGUCGCUUACACAGAAACUACUUGAUCCAACAGAUAGAGCAGGUGUUGCGUGACUUGUUCCUUAUUGCGACUGACCUCGAUAAGUUGCUCUCGAAUAAUUUGAACUUUAUGCCAGUAUGGAAUUGACACCAUUUAACAGCAGUUGUUGUUGAGAAUUCCCGGGUUUGAGGUGGCAACUUUGGCGUCGGGACUCGCUCCAUCUCUGUCUAUGGCCCGGUCAAAGCAGCAGCAGCAGCAGCAAUAAGAACAACAAGUAGUAUCUGAGCGGUGCUCUGGGAUACGGGGCUUCAUAGCUAGUUCCUAGCAAUCAUAGAUCGGUACCCUGCUGAAAAACAGGAUCUCUGGUCAGCUGGGCCCAGAUGCCCAGCAACACUUCCUGGCCCAGGACCUUGGGGCAAAUGCUCAACAUGUCCUAGCUGCAUGGUGAAGCCAGUCUAAUUCUUGGGCUCCAAACUCUCCUGAUGUGGCGCCAAGUUUACCUCAUCCAUAAGGGACACAGUUCUGGAAUGCGCUAAGGUCCUUUUAUCUGUUCACAGAGGCCUUAUACUCACAAGUUCAGGCCCAGAGAACGGUGUUCCCCAACUACAACACAACGUCUCAAUAGGUCAAGGGUCACCCCGCAAUGUUUAGUGCCUAGCGAUGAAAUCAUCCACCGUUACAUGUAGUUGGUUCAGGGUCUCCCAAAACCACCCAGUGCCUUGCGAUGAAAACCUCCAACGGGACUGUGACCUUGCCUUGUACAUACCUAAUGGUCAGGUUGAUGAUCACUUGGGCUUAGAUAGUCACUGCAGUAAGAACGUGUAAGAUUUUAAAGAAGAUGACUUCACAAUAGGACAUCCGAGACUGCAAUGACGAAAUGAGUGUCCUCACUUCAGCAGUGGAAGCCAAUACACAAUACGAGAGUUUCCAGCGGCUUACCUUAUCUGAAAACCUGGGUAGCAGAGCAAUGAGUAUAUCUCAGGAGCAUUUGCAGUCACAGCAAGUGAACCAGCGGCAGUCAUCGUCUCUAGAUUCCGAGAUCCCCAUGCUUCACAACCCUCAGUCUAUGAACAUCAUGCAUAGCAAACCUUGGACGUCCAUUGACGAAAUCAAACCGGCAAAUCAGAAGGACAGCCUGUUGCUACAGUUGUCAUCAUAUUAACCCCAGUCAUACCGAAGAAGCUCAGAGAUAUAAAUGCUGUUUAAGAUGUGCUAGUUUCUGCAUACUCCAUGUCUGGUGUGAACAUGUACAAAUGAAAGUCUCUACAUACCCCAUGUCUGAUGUGAACAUGUACAAAUGAAAGUCUCUACAUACCCAAUGUCUGAUGUGAACAUGUACAAUUGAAGGUCUCUACAUACCCCAUGUCUGAUGUGAACAUGUACAAUUGAAGGUCUCUGCAUACUCCAUGUCUGGUGUGAACAUGUACAAUUGAAAGUCUCUACAUACUCCAUGUUUGAUGUGAACAUGUACAAUUGAAGGUCUCUACAUACCCCAUGUCUGGUGUGAACAUGUACAAUUGAAGGUCUCUACAUACCCCAUGUCUGAUGUGAACAUGUACAAUUGAAGGUCUCUACAUACCCCAUGUCUGAUGUGAACAUGUACAAUUGAAGGUAUCUACAUACCCGAUGUCUGAUGUGAACAUGUACAAUUGAAGGUCUCUACAUACCCCAUGUCUGGUGUGAACAUGUACAAUUGAAGGUCUCUACAUACCCCAUGUCUGAUGUGAACAUGUACAAUUGAAGGUCUCUACAUACCCCAUGUCUGGUGUGAACAUGUACAAUUGAAGGUCUCUACAUACCCCAUGUCUGAUGUGAACAUGUACAAUUGAAGGUCUCUACAUACCCCAUGUCUGAUGUGAACAUGUACAAUUGAAGGUCUCUACAUACCCCAUGUCUGGUGUGAACAUGUACAAUUGAAGGUCUCUACAUACCCCACGUCUUGUGUGAACAUGUACAAUUGAAGGUCUCAUCUUUGAAUUUGGGACAGGUGGAAAAUUAGUGACUUGAUUCAGACAAAAAUCGCAUAAUGACAAAUCCCAACAAAAAGUGGAAAGCCAGAAAGUCUUGUGGCCAGCCAUGUAUUUAUGUGACCAUCCCAGUUGUGUUCAAGGAAAAACAAAGGUCAUGUUUUAUUGGAACUAUUAUGUUGUCAGUCAUUUUAUGUUGAAGGCUUUUAUUAACUAUAUUUAAAUUUAAUAAGAUUAAGAUUACUUGAUAAAAGCAAUAAUGUAAGAUAUUAUUUUUAAGCGCAAAAUUAGCUUUGUACUUUGUCUGUUUUGUGAAAUUUUAUUUUGGAAAUGUUAAGGAAAAUAUAAUGCUAGUAAAUAUAUGUCUAUGCAUGUUGAAUUUAACAUUUGUCAAACUGUUUUAAUGAUGCUGGUAACUUUGACAAAAUUGAAAAAAAUGUAUUGUUUUCAUGUAAUGACACAUGUUUUUUUUUGCUAAACCUGUACUAUAGAGGUCAUAGUUACAAGAAUUGUUCAGACAGGUGGAGAAUGUUUAUGCUAUGGCUUUGAUACUCUUCAGUGUGCCCAUUGGUGUUAGUGUUUUUAUCAAUAAUGUUGUUUAUUGUCUUACUAUUUCUUGAAAAUAUUGAUUAAUUUCAGACAAAAACAUUUAAUCUUCCUUAAAUUGUCUAUUCUGUAUUUACUACCAGUUAUUUAAUUAUUUGCUUGAACAUGAUUUAAAAAUGACUUUUUUUUUACUUAAAAUGCUUUACAUGUUUUGAAACUGAGUGUUUAAAAACGAAAAUAUGAGAUGUGGGGAUAAUGGCAAAGUUAUGAUCUGAUUAUUUUUUGUUUUUGUAAGGUUUAUUAUGCUUUAUAUGUUUGUGUAUAGACGAGAUUAACUUGGCCAAGAAAUCUUCAUCACUGUAUAUAUUGGUCAGUACAUUUGUCAUUUGUAUUUGUAUAUAGAGCGAUAGCGAAAUGGUUGUAUUUACAAUGUAAAUCAUGCGUUUAUUGUUGCCAUUUUGACUUUCGCUGUAAACAUUCAUUUGUACAAACAAUUUUCAUCAUAUACAUCUUUUAGAUGCCAGAUAAUAUAAACAAACAUUGCUUGUGGCGAUGCUCAUUUGACACUUUCUAAAUGAUACAGAACAACACAUUCUGAAGAGGCAAAUAUCCUUUAGACAAUAGGAACAUCUUGUUACUAGUAUAUGUAAUGCUUUUCACUAAAUAAAGUCAAGCAACUAUUGAAA